Herpailurus yagouaroundi (jaguarundi) is the source of this 1720-nucleotide long non-coding RNA. RefSeq lists it as uncharacterized. The transcript has 2 exons. The record is from RefSeq and is a predicted model, not a curated record. NCBI's taxonomy places the organism in Eukaryota, Metazoa, Chordata, Mammalia, Carnivora, Felidae.
CUGGCCCUGGGGCGAGCGGAGGGUGGGGGAAGGAGCCGGUCGGUGGCCAGCCAAGGCCUGAGCCUCAAGCCCCUAGACCUCUCGGGUGCCCUCUUGCAGUAAAUAACGAUGAGGUGUUUGCAAGGCCAAGGAAGGUGGGGGUAAGAACACAGAGCAGCAGGCUCAAGUCCACCUGCGCUGCCUCACCGACAAGCCAGACGGCCCCGGGCAAGUCACGGCCUCCCCGGGUCUCUUGCUCAUCCCGCCAAGGGGACGGCAACGCCCUGCUUCCCAGGAGCCCGUGGGGAGGAUGGCUCGCGCUCUGCACAGAGCCUGGCCCCCGUCCCUGCCCUCCUCUCCUCGAACCCAUCCAGUUUCAGCCUCCAACUGAGGCUCAGAAGGGCAAGGGCCCUUGUCCCGGGCCCCGAGGAGGGCUGGCCCAGCCUCCAGGCCUGCCCGUCUCCACUCUGCCGGCAGUCUACGACAGGCAGGUGCUCAACGCCCAUUUGUGACUUUCAGAAAGAAAACAAGCUCGUGACCAGACUAGAAAGAGAGGAAGCUCCUAUCUGAGGGAGGGGAGAUACCAGAACUGGGCUGGCCCCUCCCUGACGCCGGCCCCGCCAGACCCGGAGGCCUCCACCACCGUCCCAGCUCCUAACGGAUCUCGACAGCCAGAUCAACAUACAGAAGCUGCAGCACUUCGGGGGGCUGCCUGCGGUGGCUACUUCGUGGGCUCCCCCAGGACGCCAGGACGCUGAGCCCCCAGCCCCAGGAAACGGAGACGCGGGAGGAUCGCCCACGGACCGCAGGCCGUCCACUCUACAGUUGGGCAAAAGGCAGGAGGGGGAAGUGUGGGGCGUGGCCGUGAGCUCCACGGGGGCAGGGGCCACACCCUCCUGUGGGCAGCCUCCCAGCUCCAGAGCCGGUAGGUACUGCUGAACACACGCCGACCUGGUGCACGCUUCCCUUUACAGGCUGGGCACACGGAUGCGGGCAGCUGGGGAAAAGGCCCCAGCCUUAAUAGUGGGGCCAAGAGGGCUGCUUUCCUGCAGGCAAAGGGGCUGCGGGGGGCGGGGUGCGUUGUGCUGGGAGUCCCCCACCGGCCGAGCUGGGACCCCAGCGCUGUUCGGUGCUCUGGGCAUGCGCUUUCCCCUGUCACCCCCUUGGACUUCAGUGACAAGGAAGCAGCCCGUAGAGGGGCAGGCCCGCCUGGCAUCACGGCAUGGGUGGGGGUCUGCGGGCACACAGACUUGCUGCUGGUCCCCGCCCCCCAGGCUGCCCGCUAUCCUUCCGUUCAGGCCUCAGCUGCCCCCUGGAAAGAGGGGACUGCCCCCAUCUUAAAUUCUGCCCAGAGAGGUGCCCAGGUCUGAGGCGGGUGCCGAGCGGGCCCACGGUUUGCCCGGGAAGAGCGGUGCCCGCUCCAGGCCGCUGCGCAGGCCUGGGAGGGAGUCCCCGGACGUCACCCUGGGAACCUGGACUGUGCCCGGGCUUGGGAACUCUGACACUGCCCGGGUGUGCGGUGGAACCUCGGGCAAGAGCCUGUGUUCUCCCGACCUCUGAGACCCACAUCGGAGUGAGGGGAAGUGGGGGCAGGCGGGAGGCUUCCUCCUUCAGCCUCGGGGCCCCGUGUACGAAGCCAUUCAUGUUACCACAGGCGCACGCCCAGCAAAUCUUGAUGAAACGUUCCUGGAUCCCUGCCCAGGUCGAAUUCUUUAAAUAAAUAAAAAUAAAGAGUUGCCUA